CAAGCGACGUGUAACAUUUCNAGCUUGCUNNNNGAUGACGAGUGGCGGACGGGUGAGUAAUGCUUGGGAACUUGCCUUUGCGAGGGGGAUAACAGUUGGAAACGACUGCUAAUACCGCAUAAUGUCUUCNGACCAAACGGGGCUUCGGCUCCGGCGCAAAGAGAGGCCCAAGUGAGAUUAGCUAGUUGGUAAGGUAACGGCUUACCAAGGCGACGAUCUCUAGCUGUUCUGAGAGGAAGAUCAGCCACACUGGGACUGAGACACGGCCCAGACUCCUACGGGAGGCAGCAGUGGGGAAUAUUGCACAAUGGGGGAAACCCUGAUGCAGCCAUGCCGCGUGUGUGAAGAAGGCCUUCGGGUUGUAAAGCACUUUCAGUUGUGAGGAAAAGUUAGUAGUUAAUACCUGCUAGCCGUGACGUUAACAACAGAAGAAGCACCGGCUAACUCCGUGCCAGCAGCCGCGGUAAUACGGAGGGUGCGAGCGUUAAUCGGAAUUACUGGGCGUAAAGCGCACGCAGGCGGUUUGUUAAGCUAGAUGUGAAAGCCCCGGGCUCAACCUGGGAUGGUCAUUUAGAACUGGCAGACUAGAGUCUUGGAGAGGGGAGUGGAAUUCCAGGUGUAGCGGUGAAAUGCGUAGAUAUCUGGAGGAACAUCAGUGGCGAAGGCGACUCCCUGGCCAAAGACUGACGCUCAUGUGCGAAAGUGUGGGUAGCGAACAGGAUUAGAUACCCUGGUAGUCCACACCGUAAACGCUGUCUACUAGCUGUGUGUGNCUUUAAGACGUGCGUAGCGAAGCUAACGCGCUAAGUANACCGCCUGGGGAGUACGGGCCGCAAGGGUUAAAACUCNAAUGAAUUGACGGGGGGCCGCA
This 871-nucleotide ribosomal RNA is filed under the name Alteromonas macleodii. RNAcentral describes it as "bacterial SSU rRNA". It matches the Rfam family "Bacterial small subunit ribosomal RNA", at positions 63 to 925 of the family's 1533-position model. Lineage: Bacteria; Pseudomonadati; Pseudomonadota; Gammaproteobacteria; Alteromonadales; Alteromonadaceae. The record is from RNAcentral.